UAAAUUUCAUAUGAUGAACGAAUAAGCAGAAGAGUUCCAUGAAGACUAUAUUCAUCACCCAAGACUGAAAAAUAAAUU
Molecule: non-coding RNA, 78 nt
Organism: Lucilia cuprina (Australian sheep blowfly)
Lineage: Eukaryota; Metazoa; Arthropoda; Insecta; Diptera; Calliphoridae
Source: Rfam